UCACCAAGAAACGACUUCAAUACAAAGAAGAAAUUCUAGUCAAUUGAUCUCUGUUUCAUAAGAUGCCAUGGAUUAUAAGUGCAUACAAGUUAAAGAGACAAACCAUUUUACUGUUACUCACUGAUGAAAUCUCUUCAACAUGUAAGAGUCAUUAAAAUCCAGAGGCAAGUUAAAAGUCAAGAUCACUGAGAUUGGCCUGGGAUCCAAUGGAUGACUUUGGUGUCUUUGAUGUCUGAGCACUUGCUUCAGAUUAAAACUCUUUGAAUAAAUUCUUCCUGUCCAUCCAUUCUGCCAAGGGAAGUUUCCACAUGCUUGUGAAGAGGAAUCUGGAAUUCAAAGAGGAACUGUGAUUAGGCUGGGGCAGAGGUGCAGCCAGAACGUCUUUAUCCUGCUUUUUACUCCAAUUCUUUUUCCACACAGUCCCUG
This is a long non-coding RNA of Sarcophilus harrisii (Tasmanian devil), 426 nucleotides long. RefSeq lists it as uncharacterized. The record is from RefSeq and is a predicted model, not a curated record. NCBI's taxonomy places the organism in Eukaryota, Metazoa, Chordata, Mammalia, Dasyuromorphia, Dasyuridae. The transcript has 3 exons.